AAUAAUAUUUUCCUUACUGAACAUAAGAAACUCAUUCUUUUCUUGCCCUCCCCCUAGAUGAGGAAGAUAGUGAGGGACCGUCAACUGACCUAUCUAGUGAAGUUUAUGAGGAUUUCGUGGAUCUACAAACCUUGAGUGCAUGAUUGUUUCUACACUUUAAUGAGUUCAAUAGCAUAAUAAUAGAAGUGGCCCUUUUUUUAGC
RNAcentral lists this long non-coding RNA (202 nucleotides) under Carica papaya (papaya). Its description in RNAcentral is "long non-coding RNA (CPAP_LNC006858)". The record is from RNAcentral. Lineage: Eukaryota; Viridiplantae; Streptophyta; Magnoliopsida; Brassicales; Caricaceae.